AAGACUAUAGACCUGCGGAGUACCUGCGGAGGGAUCAUUAUCGUACAACAGAGGCACCCGGGGCUGUCGCUGGCCUUAACAGGUUGUGCACGCCCAAAGUGCUCUCAAAUCCAUCUCACCCCUUUGUGCAUCACCGCGUGGGGCCCCUGUUCGGGGGUCUUGCGUUUUUACAACAUACGCCACAUGUAUAGAAUGUCUUUGCGAUCACACGCAAUUAAUAUAACUUUUAACAAUGGAUCU
This 240-nucleotide unclassified non-coding RNA is filed under the name soil metagenome. RNAcentral describes it as "partial contains 5.8S ribosomal RNA, internal transcribed spacer 2, and large subunit ribosomal RNA". The record is from RNAcentral.